This is a non-coding RNA of Podarcis lilfordi (Lilford's wall lizard), 69 nucleotides long. The record is from the annotation of a GenBank genome assembly. NCBI's taxonomy places the organism in Eukaryota, Metazoa, Chordata, Lepidosauria, Squamata, Lacertidae.
UGAAUAGCUCCAAGGUAGAACAUCUGCUUUGUAUGCAUAAGGUCCCAGGUUCAGUUCCUGGCAUCUUAG